Molecule: long non-coding RNA, 11855 nt
Organism: Tympanuchus pallidicinctus (lesser prairie-chicken)
Lineage: Eukaryota; Metazoa; Chordata; Aves; Galliformes; Phasianidae
Exons: 4
Source: RefSeq, a predicted model, not a curated record
ACAAGGAAGAAUUUGAGAAAUGCUGUUGUCAGCUAUAAUAAUGCUGUGGAUUGAUAGUCAGUUUUAUUGUGUGCAGGGCAGGGACAUUCUACAAUGAAUAAUAGCUGUUUGACACACAGAUUCCCUACCCCUUGCAGCUUGAAGAACCUGAUGGUUCUGAAAUCUGACCUUUCCUUGCUGCUGCACACCAGUAUCUCAGCCCUCUCUUACGCAUACAAUUCUUUUGAGUGCUGUCUGCAUACUUUUCUGGUGGGCUGUGAAGUGACUCAUUUCUUGUACUUCACAAAUUAUGCUACAUAAUUGUGUCCUACAGCAUAGUCACUUUGGGGAGAAUGCUCUGACAAAUCCAGAUGUUAAUAAGUUGAUAAUCUUGGAAAUGGUCUUUGCUCAUACUGUUCUGCCAAAAGCUAGAGCUGGCGGACUUCAGGGAGCUGCAGCUCUAUGAUCUUGGUGCUGUGUACUCUGCUAGUUGCUGAACAAUUGGAAACAUUCUGUGUUCCAGAAAACUGCAUCUCCUUGCAAAAGAAGGAAGUUCAUUUAUUAUCUCUAGUCAAUGGGAAAUGAUCUUAUAAUCCCUGGUUGAUUCUGAAAUGCAGAGCAUGUCAGAAACAGAAGGCCUAAUCCCAAGUGGUUCUGUAUCUUGAAUUUACCUUGAAUUUAGACUGUCCCAACUAGAGGAAGGCCCAAAGUUGUUUGAUAGGUACUCGUGUUUAUCUUGAGUUUUAAAUAGUUGUUAUUUCCAGGCUUCUAGUUUUAAUUUGACCCUGAUGUUUUUUUUUUAAUUUCUUGGAUUUCCCAUCCAGUGCUCAUCUACUUUUUUUUGCUUACUGUUAUACUUUGUGUUGACAACUUUGCUAAUUAUUUUUUUUCUUACUUCAAAGAGGAACAGAAUUAAUUCCUUCCACAAAGAGAUAACAUUUUUUCUUAUUACUGUGUUGGAUUCUCUCCUAUGCUUACUGCAGCAGUGAAAAGAGAGGAGACUGGUUCUGUUCAUUUCCCAAAUCAGUGCAAUAUGGUACCCACCUUUAGAUGAUGCUUAGGAAAAAGUAAACUGCUGCCUUACUUUACUGCUGCAUCUCAAAUGUGCAAAAAUGCUACGUCUUGUGUAUUUGAGUGGCUCUGAAUUCAAAAUGGGCUGAUAAAACAAAUUAACUCAACUGAUGAGAUAGAGUAGGAGGUCACUGUGGUGGGGCUGUGGCUCUGGCUUACUUGCUCACUGCAGUUCUGACCUUUCUCCCAACAUCUGAGACCAAACUUCUGGCUGGGGAUGGAAUCAAUGCAAAAUUUUUGAGGAGGGUGUCAGUGCUGUAAGGCACACCUUGUUAUAGCAGUCCUGUGGUAUUGUGUUGGACCAGGGUGAUGGGCUUUGGCACGUAUUUCCUUCCCUUUUCCUCCCUCCAGAACUAAUGUUGCAGGUAAUUAAACUAUGUUGUCAAAUAUAGAGCUAGUUAUGCAUCUCAUUAAUCAUAUCCAGACUUCUGUGUUUUGCAGUUGAAUGUAACUUCCUUUGAGCUUGGCUGGAACAGAGACUGGAACAGAUUAUCUUUAUUUUGGAAAUCCAUGUCUGAGUUAUAUAAAAAUGAGGGAAAUAAAUCUGAGGCCAGCAUAGAAGGAUGCUGCUUAUCUAUGCAGUGUCUUCAAGUUAGUCCUUAGAAGAGUUGUAACAAAUGCAGUGCUUUGUAAGAGAGAAAAGAUGUCUCCUUUCUUUCAGUUUUGACAUCGUAAGAAAAAUUACAGUUAAUCCUGCUAGCCAAAUGUAGCUUGUCAUUUGUCUGUGCUUUUGCCCUUGUAUUUACUUAAGUACAGAAGAGAGUAAAAAGGAUUUAGGAUAAUUGAAGAGAGGAGACAAGGAAACUGAAAAUUUCUUGAGUAAAAAAUUGCAGUGUGCUUUCUUUACAUAGGAUGUGACAUUGAGAGCUGCUUUUUGUAUGAAUUGGGUACAAUUUUUUUUUUUGUUAUCAGAUAUCAGCAUAUUUUAUUUUACUUUUUAUGUCUUGCAGAGCUUCUGUUUUCAUUCUUUACUAAUCUUUCCUGAGACUACCACCCAUCAAAAUUGUAACCAAGAACAUUUAACUAUUUUACAGAGGUAAACAUGAAGGCUAAGUGGAGUUUGAGCUUAAUUGUCUUGUUUCUUAGUUACAGCAGCUGCUGGUCACUUACUGUAUGGAUUCUCAGCAAUGGAUGUGUACAGAUACCCUGCAUGUGUGCCUGAGUCAGUGGCAUGGAUGCACAGCAACUUCUGUUGAUAACGCUUUCUGUUUUGGGUUAAGUAGCUUGGUAGAGAAUGAGAUGUUUGCUUCUUGAAUAGAAAUCAUUCAUAAUAGCUUGUUCAGCAACUGAAAGAAGAUUCCAUUUUAACUUGAUUCCUUUGAAAAGCAAAACAAAUUGACAAAUAUCAGAAGUAAAUGGAGAUGUUCUUAUGGUGCUUCCAGAAGCUAGUGUGUCUUGAUGGUUCUCAAAGGGCUUGGAAUACCACUAUAGAUUAGAUGAGUUAGUCUUUGCCAAGACUACAUCCUGUGAUAAUCAGAGAAAUACAGAUUAAUGGAAAGCAGAGAGAAAAAGGAAUAGCUGCAGGUGACAUGAUGCAACUGCUGUAAUCACUCUCAGGUUGAUAUGAUAAUGCUGCUUGGGCUUAGAGGAAGGAAUGGUAUCAAAUGCAGCCCUGCUCAUUGCUUGUAGGAAUAAAAAAUGGGUGACAUUCUGUAUUAAAAUUCCUAAUUCCUGCUUUUCCCUUCUUCCAGAACACUUCAUUAUUUGAACAUCGGGAGAUUCAAAUGAUAUUUUCUUAAAAAUACAAAAAGUGUGGAUUUUUUUUUUUUUGUAGCCUUCAUAAGAAUUCUCAGAUGGGCACAAGCCAUGGAUUAGCUGCAGUCCAGCAGUGCACUUGAGCAUGGGCUGCAGCUCAGGCACCCCAAGGAGAUGAUAGCUGCUCUGUAAGAGGGGCUGCACUUCUCUGCAUAGCUCAGCAGCACCAGCUGCAGCCUGAUGGCUGGAUGAUAAUAUCUCUGAACACUGGGCAUGUGAUCCUUGUCUCAGCAAUAUCUUAAUGUCAGUUUUCAGGUAGCCUUAGGAGGUUACACAGUACACUGCCUAUUAUGAUCCAUGUUUUAAAGCAGGUUUGUAACCAUUUCCUAAAAUGCUUUCUGUGAAAGUCUUUAAACUACUGGGACUUGCAAACAGAAAUAUUGAAAUUAACUUUUUCUGGAGGAAUUGUUUAAACUUCAUGGUAUGCUGGCUCUGAGAUUAAUUUUGAGGUGAAAUUUCUCGAUCUCUCCCAUUAUUUCUAAGAGUCACCUUUUGUUAAUUAAAAAGCAAAAACAACAGAACGCAAUUUCUGUACGACUUUGUUUUAGCAGCGUGAAAUGUGGAACUAAGAGAAAAUAGUCCUUAAAGGAUUUGUACUUACAUUUUAAAUUAAAUAAUGUACUUAAAAUUAUUCAUACCAUGUUAGGAUCAGAGAGCAAAAUUCUGCGAACACAGAUUGGAUUUCUGUACUCACAUCUCAGAUACCCUCUAAUGAGGUUGUAAAGCCAGAGUAGAGAUGCAUCGCAUACCUCCAAACACAACUGGCAACAGUAAGUACUGAAAGUCAAAUAAUUAUUUUAGAUGGUGGAAACAGAAGCUGGGAGUCUGUAGGAAUUGCAGCAUGCUAUGUUUGUGUACAGGAUAUGUACAAGGCUAUGAAGUUACAGUGCAUCUCCUGAAGUGUUACAGCAGAACUUCUGCUAAAUUUUACAUGGCAAGAAUUGCAAGACCCACUCUUCCAUGCAGUCUGCAAAUUGAAAAUUAAAUUUGAGAUCUGUGAUAUCUUAAAUAAUGAUCAGAAUGAAAUGGCAGCUGCGAAGUUGAGUCUGAUACUGUUAUGAGUACUGAGUACUGUUAUGUCAGAAUGCCUUGCAAUUGACAAUAGCUUUUUGUGCGUUGAUCUGGUUUUAUACAGUAUUUAUAGACAGGUGUUUUCUUACAGGAUUGCCAGGAGUGUUGCUAUCACUCUGAAUGUUUUAGCUUGUUAAAUAAUAGAUCAUUAAGGUUGGAAAGACCAUUAAGAUCAUCUGGUCCAGCCAUCAACCCGUGCCUGUGACAUCUGUCCUUUUUUGAACACCUUUGGGGAUGGUGACUCCAUCACUUCCCUUGGCAGCCUGUUCCACUGCUGCUCUAGAUUUCUAAGAAUUUUUUCCUAAUAUCCAAUCUUAACCUCCCCUGGCACAAUUUCAGGCCAUUUCCUCUCAUCCUGAUGCUGUUACCCAGGAGCAGAGGCCUAUCCCCACCUCACCACAACCUCCUCAGGUCAGGCAGUUGUAGAGAGCGAUAAGAUCUCCCUGAGCCUCCUCUUCUCCAGACUGAAUAAUCCCAGUUAUUUCAGCUACUCCUCAUAAGGCUUGUAUGUGUAGGGAAUGUAAGGCUCCAUUCUCAUGUUACUGUUAAAGUCUCAGUGCACUGCAUUAGUAAAAUGAUUAUGAUUAUUAAUAACCAUUCAGAUAGUAACAGUACUAUAAGAAAUAGUGAACUGUCUGAAUUAGCAGUUAAGAUACUUUAUUUGAUUUGCAAAAAGAAAAGCCUCAUUGUGUGUACGCUGUUGGUUUACAGAGGAAGAGGUAACAUAAAUGAUCAUUGUGAGCCUUUUCACUUUGGAGCUUGUUGUUUAAUAUGUGCACGUUGCUUUCUUUCUGCUCAUGAAAAUGCUGUUUGCCCAAAUGAACAGCAUACACAAGCAGGAAUGUGCAAGGCAAGAGUGUAUCCUUCCAUGCCAGCAUGCUGAUUGAAUUAAAGAAUUUCAUGAAGUGUGGCAGCAGGAGUGCUGAUGAACUGCAGACAUGUUUUUAGAGCUGGCUGCUUAUGCUUGUGAACAAUAUUAAGAACUCCAAAAGCUUACCUUAUUUUGACCUCAGAAAAGUAAAUGUGACUGUCUGAAGGUUAACAGGCUAUAAUGGUUAUGUUCUGAACUGUGUAGUUGCAGUAAUUCUAUCUUAUUUGUAAGUACCUGAGGUUUUUGAUGUAAUGGGUCUACAAUGAGAAAUAAAGCUGAGUCAGCAAAUGAAUACAAUGAACUGCAUUCAAAACAAUUGCCAUCUGUUUUUUUUAUAUCCUUUCCUGUUAAAGCUGGAAGGCUGAUUUUUUUUUUUUUUUUUUUCCAAGUGCUACAACAGAAAUUAGGCAUUCCCGUGUUUUAAUGUGGCUGCUUUUAUGUUGUUCACAACUGCAGAGUUACAUAUGCUGUCUCACUUUCAUACUCCAAAGCUUCUUCAGAUUAUUUGCUGAAAUGAAAUAUUUUCAGGAUGCAGGCAAGGCCAAACCUUUUAUUCUUCCUUAGGGGUAAGCAGUCAUUACUUAAGCCUUACUAAAUGUUGUUUUAAAUAACUAUAUAUGUUGUAAUUCUAUUUGAAUGAUUUGUUAUUGAGGUCAAUUUUACCAAAGAAAAAGGGAUGAGAGAGGGAUGGCAAAGGGUAAUAGUUACUGUUUGAUGAAAAAGAAAAGAAGAACAAGUAGGGGGAAAAAAAAAAAGCUUUAAUUCACACUAUCUUUUCCCAGAUAAGGACAAGGAAAACUUCAGCUCAAAUGUGGACACCUACGAAGCAGUGGCAAGGAAGAAAUCAUGGAAUUGAGUUGGAAGAGACCUUUACAGGACAUCUGGACCAACUCCUCCGCAAUGGACGGGGACACCUACAGCUCAGAGCCCCAUCCAUCCUGAGUUUGAGCGUCUCCAGGGAAGGGGCAACCACCACCUUUCUGAGCAGCCUGUGCCGGUGCCUCACUGCUCUUACUGUAAAAAUUUUCUUCCUUAUAUCCAAUCUAAAUCUCUCUUCCUUUAGUUUGAAACCAUUUCCCCUUGACCUGUCACAGUAGACCCUGCUGAAGAGUCCCCCCCCUUCUUUCUUAUAGCCCCUGUCUGGAGUCUGACAGGCUACUCUCAGUCUCCCUACUAGGCUCUAAAAAAGCCCCAGCUUUUUCAGCCUGUUCAAGUAGUGGAGGUGUUCCAUCACUUAAAUCAUUUUUGUGGUCCUUGUCUGGGGCCACACUCCAACAGAUCUAUGGCUCUCCUGUACUGAGGACUCUAUGUCUGUACACAGUAUUCCAGGUGAGCUCUCACAAGGCGGAGCAGAGUGCCAUCUCCCUUGCCCUGCUGGCCACGCUUCUUUUCAAGAUGAUAUGGUGGGCUUUCUGGGUUGUAAGGGCAUGUUGCUAGCUUGUGUCCAGCUGACAGUUAUAAAGGCUACCACAAAAAUGACAGAAAAGGUAGGGAGUUGCAGUGAUUGAGAAGUUGAAGUCUGACGACCAGAGAGGCUUUCUUCCAUGAAUAACUAACAUACGGAGCCAAAGUGAGGCCACAAAUUGUAGAAACAAUUUGCUUUGCCAAUGAUCCUUAAAGGGGGGGAAGUUGUUCUGGCCCAUCUAAAUAGAACUCCUUUUAUGCCUAAUAAAAUACGAAUUUCAAGAUGAAACUUCAGUGUUAAAAGAUAUUUAAUUUAUUUAUACUUAUUUGACUAUUUUCUCAUGAAUUAUGGAGAUGUCUCAAAGCUUCCCCUUCACAAACCUAAGCAGAAGUGACAAAACAGUGGUUCAAUUUUGAUUGCAUACAAAUUGUAGAGGAACUUAUCUUUGCUAUUGGUGUGUGUGUGUGUGUGUGUGCGCGUGCAUAUAAUUAUUUGGCACUAUGUGAUGACUGUUCAGCCAGUUUUUACUGCAAACAAGGAUUGUAUUUUGUCACCAAGGCGAUUUCCUUCACAGCAGUCCCAGGUCCAGCUUAUGACCAUAAAUCACUGAUGUGUAACCAAACCACAGAAUUUAGAGAAUAGAGGCUUUUUUUUCCCCCCAGAUUUCAAGAGCUCUCCUUGUUUCUUACGAGUUCCAGGACCUGUGGUUGAAAAUGAUGGCCAUCACUUUCUCUUUGAUUUCAUCUUUAUGACAAUAUCUGAUAGGGGUGGGGCUCCAAAUUAAGUGUGUGAUGGCUUGUGCUGUGGCUAAUUAUCUUUCCCAUUUGUUACCUAGUAGAAUUUUGUAACUCUGGGAUUUAAAGUUUGUCAGUCUUCACUAUCUUUCCUCCUGAACUUGGACAUUUCUGCCAAGGCCAACAAUGAAACGAGCACAUUAAAAUAAUAAAUCUCCAGUGAACAGACUAAGUUAUUUACUUUGGAUGAACAAGACUACAUGUAAAACUGGUGAGUGUUUGGGGUUGAUUGGUUACUGGAGGUGGGAGUGCUCUAAGAGUCAAAUGCUUCUACAACAAGCUUUAGUUGUGGGAACAUUUGAGUCUGAAACGUGAAAGAAUGCAGACCUUUCAAAAUAUGGUAUGUGAGAAAAAUGUAUGAUUUAGUGUUUCCAUUUCCAUAGAGGAAAUAGCAGUACUUUGUUUCAACCAAAUGAUAAAUUUCCUUUAGUCAUAUGAUGAGGGAAAUAAAUACCCUCUUAUUUCUCUCAUAGCAGCUAAGAGAAAAGUUUAGGUAUCUUAAAAAUAACCUGCUAAUAGAAGGACUUGGUUAUAUUAGUCAUUAAUCAGAGGAUUACGUUUUCCCUCUUUUUAGAGAAGACUGCUCUAAAAAAUAAAUAGAACUGUUAAUCAGAACUUGAGAUGGGAUUCUGCGGUCAUUUGCACUGUCAGACCAGUUGUAAGCAUUACUGCUUCUUGGAAAAGCUAUGGUUGUUUGUUGAAUAACAAUAAUAGUAAUAAUAGGAUUGCAGUGCUUUGGUAAGACUGUGUUUUGGUAUAUGAUCUUUGGUAGCACAUUUUCUGCAAUGAAUGUUCUUCAGUAUGUCAUACAGCUUCCAACUGUGUAUUGUAGGGAAACAUGGACAGAACAACCUCUAUGCUGCAUCUGGGUAUUUCUUAGAGUUCUAAGUGUGGGAUUGAAAACUGAUAGAACUAGGAAGGGCUUUUGUGUGUCUUGGGAAAUAGUGUUGAAACAUAACUAGGUGCAAUAAUUACAUGUGGCUAAACAUCAAUAAUAAUCAUUGCUACCUUUAUGCCUCUCUUGUUUAUUUUUUUGCUACUUAAUCCUAAGAACAGGAAGGUUUUCGGAAACUGCAUUAGAUGUCAGAACUUAGUAGGGAAGAAGUGAACUGAAUUUGUAGGUUACUGAGCUACCUGAUGCCUAAGAUGGUUUAAUCUUAGUGUACUGCGAGGAGUGGGAUCUGUAGUGCUGAUUUCCUCAGAAAUGGAAGUAGUUGUUUGAGAGCUGGAAGAAGAUUCAUGCUUGUUGUGACUGUCUGGAAUGAACAUGGCUGGCUUCUGGCAGCUUUCUCUUAUGGUAUUGCACAAUGGAAUUCAGUUUGAGUUUGGGAGACGUAAUUAUGUGAUGUUGAAGCAGUUGUACAGUUGUACUAUUUCCAGUGACACAAUUUAAAACCUGCUUCCACAAAAUUAUACAUCAGUGGGAUGAUCAUUGCAAUUAAAGUCAAGAAUGCCCUUGUAUGUGUUGUGGCAUAGUCAGAAUUCUAUUUGAUGGAGUCUGGCAGAGGCGUGUGGUCUUGAAUUAGUAUCCUUUCAUAACAGAUUUGUGGCAGGUCUCUUAAAUGUGCAAAAAAACAUGAGGUGUGUUAUUGAAAUUUAAACCUUUAUUGCAUUUAUAAAUAAGCAUUCUUCAGUAAUAAUAUUUUUAAAAGUAUGCAGUUCAACAAGCUUUGAGCUACUGUAUAAAUCUCUUCAUAAGCUGCUUCUUGGUCUACUUCUCAUUAUGGUACCAUAAUUGUGUGGCCUGGUUUGCUUCCAGUAAAUUGCCUCUCUGGCCCAGUGGCAGCCCUACCACCGUCUCUUAUUCAACCUCUCUUCACAGGAAGAGUCCGAAAAAGCGUAGUAAGGGGAGAGAUGACCAGUGGCUACCGUACACUCAUGGGGAACUCAGCUGCCCAGAUGGGUUGUGUAGUCCUGCAGAGGAAACUCCUGUGCCUUGAAGAGAAUGUAUACCAACUACCCCUUUGGUAGCUCUAUUAAAAGAUGUCUUUUUCACGUGCACGCAGUUAUAUUUUAACCCUCCAGUCUAUCUUUGAAGCUGUUAGUGCUCUGGAGAAACAUUAAAUGUUGAAGGCUGGCCUGCUGGUUUUGGCUGAAAUAGAGAGAAAUAUGCAACGCUCUGAGAAAUUCCAGGACUCCCACUAGGUCAAAAAUUUUCUCUCAACUGUAGCAUUUCAUCAAGUUCCCCUGGUAACAUGUCUCAAUGUAUCACAAUCAUGAUUGCUUGGAAAUCCACCAGCUCUGCAAUGAGCUGAGAAUAUUUAUUGCAAGUGCUAGAUGGCAUUCUCUUAGUAGAGAUCUGGUUAGUUAUUUCCAUACAUCCCAGUUUCAGAGUGAAUGUUUCAUUUAUCUUACUGUAUGUUACAUGCUUUGGAUUAGACAAAUUCAGUUAUGAGUAUGUAUCUGCUAUAUAUAUAUAUAUAUAUAUAUAUGUAAUUAGUUAUUAUUAAUUAACCAGUCUGAACAUUUAAAUCCAAGCUAAAUCACAAGUUAACAAUACUUUGAGAAGCUCUUGGCGUAAUUCGAAACACUGUGGAGAUCUUCAAAACCCCUGUGUUAGUCACCUUGUUAUAACCAGACUAAUUGGGAACUCUGUGAUACCGGCUUGUUUCAGCACAUCUAAUUUUUACAAGACUCACUUCAAGCUGAUCUUUUUAUGGAAUGUGAUUUUUUUUAUUUUCUUUUCCCAGGUAAAAAUAAAGAAAGCUUUUCUUGAGGUUUGUGGUGCACCUGUUCUCUGCUCUAAAGCUGGCUGACAGCAUAGCUGAAAUCUCACAGCAGACAUUUCCUGGCUUUGGUACAGUGUUUUCGAGCAAGCUGCUAAAAGUGGUCUAGCAAGUUGUUAUUUCAGGAAUCAUUUUCAACUGAAGGAACAAUGUGAUUUGCAUAAAGAACCAAGAAACUCUUCUUUUGUUGCUCUCUGGUCUAAAGAUGUCAUUAAUAUAGUAAGUCUGUAGUAAGAUGAGCUGGUUAUUUCCUCUGGAGUCAGAGUAUGUUUAGUAUUUUUUGACUCUGUGAUGUGCUGAGUCUCCUAGACCCUUGUUCUAGGAUGCAUGUUUCAAGACCAUUUCAUGAGUCUUCACGGUGACCUGAUGUACUGUUUCUUCAUGAGAAACUUGGGAAUCAGAGGUGGCAUAUUUCAUAUUGUGGGCCUCCCAGCAUCGUCUCCAGUGGUCCCAUAUGGUAAAGGGCUAUAUCAGUUUUCUUUUCAAUACCCUACCUGUUCUGUUCUCAUAGAAGCACUCACUAUAGUGUUCAGAGAUGGUUUUUGACUUCAUGGCUGCUUAAAAAAUAUAAAAGGUCCUAAACGUAGCUAAUAGGACAUCAAUAAACAUUAACUGGGACCUAAUGUUUGGGCAGCUUGGGCCUGUUUAGUUCCUGUUAAGUCAUGUGUGAGGCACCGUAGUGAUGUUGUGGAACUCAUGCAGAGGGAGCUGCCAGAAGUUGUGCCAUGAGGAUCUGUGUGACAAGGAGCAUCCUGCUGGGCUCAUGGCUCUGUCCAGUGCUAUAACCACUAGGGGACACUGCCUCAUUGUUACUGGGGAAAUUAAUCAUUACAUGUUUAAUGCCAAAUUGCAGAGGUUUUCCUCCUGCUGGCUUAAGUUAAUCUCAGAUACUAUCAGGUACUAUUUAUUUAUUUGUUUUGUGCCCUAACUAUUUACAGUGCUGCCAUAUGCUCAGGUUCUACUUUAAGAGCUGAAUCGAUGCCCAGAGAAAGGCAGCUCUGCUGCUCUUCCCCAGGUGAAAACAAAUGCCUUGUCUUAUUGCUCUGUGUCUCUGAAAAAGUGUCUUUGGGGGCACAGCUUUGCUUCCUUUGGGAAGGAAGAAGGUACAAUUUUUGUUCUUCUGUCUUCAUCGCAGACAACUUUAACAGCUUCCAAACUAGGCUGUCUGGCAAAUAGUGUUUGGUUUUUGGUUUUUUUUUUUCUGAAUUUGAGCCAAAUGGGAAUACAGAGACAUUUCAGGGAAAACUGACAGAAUGUGCUGCUCCUUUCAUUGACUCCAGUAAUUAUAAACUGAUCCCAUGGUAGCAGCAGGACUGCAUCUAGAUUUUAAACACCAUGAUUACGUUCAAAUAACUGCUCCAACAAUGAGGAAUAUCUCAAAAAGUAGUAAAUAUUCUUGUGUUCAAUCCUACAGCUCAUUCCUGUUGUACCAAGAACUUACCGAGUUUGUACGUCUUUCCUCGUGAAUCAGAUAAAUGCAUCUCCUCCACGAGCUGCCUAUUUUCUUGUAUACUGUGCAUCGCUUCCCCUGCAGAUUGGAAAGAGGACUGUGAUCCUCUUGUAUGUCUAACUGAGGGUUGCCCGUGUGCUGCCAGGGAGCAAACCGGAUCCAUGCAGUGUGUGAGUGAAAGCCAGGUAUGCUAUGCUAUACGUGGCAAGAUGUUAUAAAGCAAUUUUUAAUUAUCUUGUCAUUUAGAAGCAGAAUAUUUUUAUAUUGUACUCACUAUUGAAAUCAUGGGAUGUCUUUUUCAACUGCGGUGCUGUUACCAGCCAUUUCAUAGAAUAGAAUGGCUUGGGUUGGAAGAGACCUCAGGAUCAUGAAGUUCCAACUCCCCUGCCACAGGUGGGAUUGCUAGUCAUUAGAUCAACACUAGAUCAGAUUGCCCAGGGCAGUGUCCAACCUGGCCUUGAACACCUCCAGGGAUGGGGUAUCCACAACCUCUAUGGGCAGCCUGUUAAGCACCUCAUCACUCUCAGUAAAGAUCUUGCCACUAACAUCCAAUCUAAAUCUCCCUUCCUGUAGUUUAAAACUAUUCCCCCUUGUCCGAUCUCUAUCUACCAGCAUAAAAAAUUGACUUCCCUCCUGUUUAUAAACUCUCUUUAAAAAUUGUAAGGCUGCAAUGAGGUCUUCCCGCAGCCUUCCCUUCUUCAGGCUGAACAGUCCCAGCUCCUUUGACCUAUCU